GAAGCCUAACUUCUGGAAUGCCAAGGAAAGCCUCACAGGAAGGUGUCUUGCUGGAGACUUUCUGCUGUGAAACCACCCAAGGAGGGUGCUGGGGUUUGCAGAUCUUUCGGUGUCUGAGGACCUCAGACUGAUAAGCAUAAGGCUAAGAAAGGAUACUUCUAAGAGCAGCCACUGAAGGAUACUCAAGAAGCUUCACACUUCAUAAAAGACGGGACAUUUUAACAACAAAAUAUUGGGAAAACCUCAGUCUCAGAAUUACUUGUGUCAAUUACUUGAGUCACAGUUAAUCGAAUGGAGGAAAGAACACUUUUCUUUUUGGAGUAAGACUCAAGAGUGAAUCCCAGCUCUGCCAAUUAUUCCUUAUAUGACACUGGCUGAGAUAUUAAUAUUUCUGAGCCUCACAAAUCAAAUCACAAAAUGAAAUCACGCAGCCCACAUGGUUUUCAGAAUGCAACCAAUGAGUAGUUUUACAUUCCUAUGCUGUUUAGUACAUAGUAGGUGCUCAAAAAUAUCCAUUUCUUCCCUCCCACACCCUUUCCCCUCUACUCAUUUUACUCACCUCAGAGGAUUGUUGUGAUGAUUGAAUAAGACAAUAACAAGAGAAUGUUUGGUGAACCGUAAGGCAUUAUUUAAAUGUAAGUUUCAUGAGACAGAAGGUGCUUUGCUUUAAGCACAUGCAUUUUCCUUUUCAUAAGAUGUGUAAUAUGUAAUGCAGGAACCCUCAAGGAAAAAAAAAACAA
Molecule: long non-coding RNA, 740 nt
Organism: Neofelis nebulosa (Clouded leopard)
Lineage: Eukaryota; Metazoa; Chordata; Mammalia; Carnivora; Felidae
Exons: 3
Source: RefSeq, a predicted model, not a curated record